GAUGAACGCUGGCGGCGUGCCUAAUACAUGCAAGUCGAGCGAAUGGAUUAAGAGCUUGCUCUUAUGAAGUUAGCGGCGGACGGGUGAGUAACACGUGGGUAACCUGCCCAUAAGACUGGGAUAACUCCGGGAAACCGGGGCUAAUACCGGAUAACAUUUUGAACCGCAUGGUUCGAAAUUGAAAGGCGGCUUCGGCUGUCACUUAUGGAUGGACCCGCGUCGCAUUAGCUAGUUGGUGAGGUAACGGCGCACCAAGGCAACGAUGCGUAGCCGACCUGAGAGGAUGAGCGGCCACACUGGGACUGAGACACGGCCCAGAGUCCUACGGGAGGCAGCAGUAGGGAAUCUUCCGCAAUGGACGAAAGUCUGACGGAGCAACGCCGCGUGAGUGAUGAAGGCUUUCGGGUCGUAAAACUCUGUUGUUAGGGAAGAACAAGUGCUAGUUGAAUAAGCUGGCACCUUGACGGUACCUAACCAGAAAGCCACGGCUAACUACGUGCCAGCCGCCGCGGUAA
Molecule: ribosomal RNA, 515 nt
Filed under: uncultured bacterium
Lineage: Bacteria
Description: partial 16S ribosomal RNA
Rfam family: Bacterial small subunit ribosomal RNA
Source: RNAcentral